Molecule: long non-coding RNA, 153 nt
Organism: Cyprinus carpio (common carp)
Lineage: Eukaryota; Metazoa; Chordata; Actinopteri; Cypriniformes; Cyprinidae
Exons: 3
Source: RefSeq, a predicted model, not a curated record
UUCCAAAUUUGAAUCUCAUAAGUUUGACUUUACAUGGAAUUCUCGGACAAUUUUGAGCUCGUCACAAUCCCGUUGUUUUUAUUUAAAUCGGAAUUCUAAGUUUAAAUGUUGCAAUUCUGAUGCAUUUUUCUCAGAAUUCUGCAUUUACAUCUC